Molecule: unclassified non-coding RNA, 164 nt
Filed under: uncultured Helotiales
Lineage: Eukaryota; Fungi; Ascomycota; Leotiomycetes; Helotiales
Description: sequence contains ITS1
Source: RNAcentral
UCGUGUCGGUGCCCCUCGCGUGGGUAGAAACACCACCCUAUGUAUACGUAUCUCGUUGCUUUGGCAGGCCGCCCCCGGGCGCUGGCUCCGGCCGGCCCGCGCCUGCCAGAGAGGCCCCCCAACCCUGAAUGUUAUAGUGUCGUCUGAGUACUAUCUAAUAGUUA